RNAcentral lists this small RNA (567 nucleotides) under Pan troglodytes (chimpanzee). RNAcentral describes it as "processed transcript". Lineage: Eukaryota; Metazoa; Chordata; Mammalia; Primates; Hominidae. The record is from RNAcentral.
AAAUCGUACGGGGCUGGGAGAUGGGAGAUGGGAGCUGGGCCUGGAGCUUGCCUGGCGGGCGGAUGGGUGUGGGUGGAGGCACGUUGGGGAUCCUGGUGCAGAGUGGGCCAGCUGUGGCCUCGGGGCUCGCCACCGUGGAGGACUCCGCCUGGGCCUAGGCCCCCAUCUCUAGGAAAUGCCUCCUUCCUGCGUGCGCGCGUUGUGAGAUUACUAGUACCAGGAUUUCUAUGCAUUCGACCUGUCAGGAGCCACUCGAGUCCUUGAAUGGAUUGAUGACAAAGGAGUCUUUGUUGCUGGCUAUGAAAGCCUGAAAAAGAAUGAAAUUCUUCAUCUGAAAUUACCUCUCAGACUUUCUGUAAAGGAAAACAAGGGCUUAUUCCCAGAAAGAGAUUUCAAAGUGCGCCAUGGAGGAUUUUCAGACAGGUCUAUCUUUGAUCUAAAGCAUGUGCCACAUACCAGAUUGCUGGUUACCAGUGGCCUUCCAGGUUGUUAUCUGCAGGUGUGGCAGGUUGCAGAGGACAGUGAUGUCAUUAAAGCUGUCAGCACCAUUGCUGUGCAUGAGAAAGA